Molecule: ribosomal RNA, 497 nt
Filed under: uncultured bacterium
Lineage: Bacteria
Description: partial 16S ribosomal RNA
Rfam family: Bacterial small subunit ribosomal RNA
Source: RNAcentral
GAUGAACGCUGGCGGCGUGCCUAAUACAUGCAAGUCGAGCGAACAGACGAGGAGCUUGCUCCUCUGACGUUAGCGGCGGACGGGUGAGUAACACGUGGAUAACCUACCUAUAAGACUGGGAUAACUUCGGGAAACCGGAGCUACUACCGGAUAAUAUAUUGAACCGCAUGGUUCCAUAGUGAAAGACGGUUUUGCUGUCACUUAUAGAUGGCUCCGCGCCGCAUUAGCUAGUUGGUAAGGUAAUGGCUUACCAAGGCAACGAUGCGUAGCCGACCUGAGCGGGUGGUCGGCCACACUGGAACUGAGACACGGUCCAGACUCCUACGGGGAGCAGCAGUAGGGAAUCUUCCGCAAAGGGCGAAAGCCUGACGGAGCAACGCCGCGUGAGUGAUGAAGGUCUUCGGAUCGUAAAACUCUGUUAUUAGGGAAGAACAAAUGUGUAAGUAACUGUGCACGUCUUGACGGUACCUAAUCAGAAAGCCACGGCUAACUACGUG